RNAcentral lists this ribosomal RNA (738 nucleotides) under uncultured bacterium. Its description in RNAcentral is "bacterial SSU rRNA". It matches the Rfam family "Bacterial small subunit ribosomal RNA", at positions 57 to 778 of the family's 1533-position model. The record is from RNAcentral.
GCAGUCGACGCUUUUUCUUUCCCGGAGCUUGCUCCAUCGAAAGAAAAAGAGUGGCGAACGGGUGAGUAACACGUGGGUAACCUGCCCAUCAGAAGGGGAUAACACUUAGAAACAGGUGCUAAUACCGUAUAACACUAUUUUCCGCAUGGAAGAAAGUUGAAAGGCGCUUUUGCGUCACUGAUGGAUGGACCCGCGGUGCAUUAGCUAGUUGGUGAGGUAACGGCUCACCAAGGCAACGAUGCAUAGCCGACCUGAGAGGGUGAUCGGCCACACUGGGACUGAGACACGGCCCAGACUCCUACGGGAGGCAGCAGUAGGGAAUCUUCGGCAAUGGACGAAAGUCUGACCGAGCAACGCCGCGUGAGUGAAGAAGGUUUUCGGAUCGUAAAACUCUGUUGUUAGAGAAGAACAAGGAUGAGAGUGAAAUGUUCAUCCCUUGACGGUAUCUAACCAGAAAGCCACGGCUAACAACGUGCCAGCAGCCGCGGUAAUACGUAGGUGGCAAGCGUUGUCCGGAUUUAUUGGGCGUAAAGCGAGCGCAGGCGGUUUCUUAAGUCUGAUGUGAAAGCCCCCGGCUCAACCGGGGAGGGUCAUUGGAAACUGGGAGACUUGAGUGCAGAAGAGGAGAGUGGAAUUCCAUGUGUAGCGGUGAAAUGCGUAGAUAUAUGGAGGACACCAGUGGCGAAGCGGCUCUCGGUCUGUACUGACGCUGAGCUCGAAGCGUGGGAGCGACAGGAU